UGGUGCUUCUACAACGGGUUUCAAGUUUGAUCUAUUCAAAUCUGAUUUUAUAGGUUCACUAGAUUGUGUCGGUUCUUCUAUCUAUCAAACUUUAUAAGUUUCACAUCAAAGACAUCAGUUCUUUCACCAAGGUACUUCUUUUUCUAAAAGAAAUACCGAACAAUUUUUAUUUUUUAGUAAGGUAUAAGUUAUAUCCCCUAGAUUCUUUAGGAUUAUCCUA
RNAcentral lists this long non-coding RNA (220 nucleotides) under Elaeis guineensis (African oil palm). RNAcentral's name for it is "long non-coding RNA (EGUI_LNC041536)". Lineage: Eukaryota; Viridiplantae; Streptophyta; Magnoliopsida; Arecales; Arecaceae. The record is from RNAcentral.